AGUGGCGGACGGGUGAGUAACGCGUAAGAGUCUAACUUCAGGACGGGGACAACAGUUGGAAACGACUGCUAAUACCCGAUGUGCCGCAAGGUGAAACCUAAUUGGCCUGGAGAAGAGCUUGCGUCUGAUUAGCUAGUUGGUGGGGUAAAGGCCUACCAAGGCGACGAUCAGUAGCUGGUCUGAGAGGAUGAGCAGCCACACUGGGACUGAGACACGGCCCAGACUCCUACGGGAGGCAGCAGUGGGGAAUUUUCCGCAAUGGGCGAAAGCCUGACGGAGCAACGCCGCGUGAGGGAGGAAGGUCUUUGGAUUGUAAACCUCUUUUCUCAAGGAAGAAGUUCUGACGGUACUUGAGGAAUCAGCCUCGGCUAACUCCGUGCCAGCAGCCGCGGUAAUACGGGGGAGGCAAGCGUUAUCCGGAAUUAUUGGGCGUAAAGCGUCCGCAGGUGGUCAGCCAAGUCUGCCGUCAAAUCAGGUUGCUUAACGACCUAAAGGCGGUGGAAACUGGCAGACUAGAGAGCAGUAGGGGUAGCAGGAAUUCCCAGUGUAGCGGUGAAAUGCGUAGAGAUUGGGAAGAACAUCGGUGGCGAAAGCGUGCUACUGGGCUGUAUCUGACACUCAGGGACGAAAGCUAGGGGAGCGAAAGGGAUUAGAUACCCCUGUAGUCCUAGCCGUAAACGAUGGAUACUAGGCGUGGCUU
RNAcentral lists this ribosomal RNA (700 nucleotides) under uncultured bacterium. RNAcentral describes it as "bacterial SSU rRNA". It matches the Rfam family "Bacterial small subunit ribosomal RNA", at positions 94 to 828 of the family's 1533-position model. The record is from RNAcentral.